Molecule: long non-coding RNA, 739 nt
Organism: Drosophila teissieri
Lineage: Eukaryota; Metazoa; Arthropoda; Insecta; Diptera; Drosophilidae
Exons: 4
Source: RefSeq, a predicted model, not a curated record
GCUGCAGCUGUGUGCGUGUGGGUGUACUCGUAUUGGCUGCGUGUACGUGUGUGCGUAACUACACUGCAAAUUGUGACGGAUUCUUGUGGUCUUGAGGGGGAAAUAACUUGCUUUUGACAGGUGCGAUCGAGUGUGCCGUCUCAAAAAAAUAAAAAAGAAACGAACAACCUAGGAUGUCUGGUUGCAUUCUCUUUUUGCGCCACUGAUUAUCCGAAACUCAAGUGACAACAAUCAGCAAAUAAUCAUAAACUAAAUGGCAAUCGUGACAAUUUAAUCAUUGACUUUGUCGUGGGAAGGAUCAGAGAUCUAAGCUCAAGUUUACUCAGAGGAUUCCAAUUUCACAACUUCACUUAAUGGAUGAAAGGGGUUGCUUCUUGAUCCUCCGAGACCAAUUGAAUUUCACGACCUCCCUAAUGAUUUCUUAUAACAUGAAAUGGUGCAUACUUACAUAUGGACCAUUAACAGAAACCCGUAAAUCCGAACUUGUGCUGUUUUAUAUCUGUUACAAGACCGGCAUUAUGGGAGUCUGUCAAUGCAAACAACUGGUUUUUGGCAACAAAAUCAAUGACAAAUCUAAAAAACGAAUAACGGCGGAGUAAGGAUAAAAGUUCAACUUAAAAAAGGAUUACCUACGAAAUACAUAACUUUAAAAGCUAAAGAUGACUAAAUGGCCAAACGAAGUAUAAAAAUAAUCAGUAAUAGCCUAACAAGCAAUAAAUAAUCCUAAAACUUAAUUAAA